GAUGAAGAACGCAGCGAAAUGCGAUACUUGGUGUGAAUUGCAGAAUCCCGUGAACCAUCGAGUCUUUUAACGCAAGUUGCGCCCGAAGCCAUUAGGCCGAGGGCACGCCUGCCUGGGCGUCACACGUCGUUGCCCCCCCAUCUACUCCUUCGGGAUUGCGGGGGGCGGAUGAUGGCCUCCCGUGCGCCUCGUCGCGCGGUUGGCAUAAAUACCAAGUCCUCGGCGACGCACGCCACGACAAUCGGUGGUUGCGAAACCUCGGUUGCCCGUCGUGUGCGGUCGUCGCGCAUCGAGGGCUCGAAAAAAUUGCCGGGCUCCGGCUCGGCUUUCAACGCGACCCCAGGUCAGGCGGGGUUACCCGCUGAAUUUAAGCAUAUCAAUAAGCGGAGGA
Molecule: unclassified non-coding RNA, 391 nt
Filed under: soil metagenome
Description: partial contains 5.8S ribosomal RNA, internal transcribed spacer 2, and large subunit ribosomal RNA
Rfam family: 5.8S ribosomal RNA (bases 1-122)
Source: RNAcentral